This 458-nucleotide ribosomal RNA is filed under the name uncultured bacterium. RNAcentral's name for it is "partial 16S ribosomal RNA". It matches the Rfam family "Bacterial small subunit ribosomal RNA", at positions 338 to 795 of the family's 1533-position model. The record is from RNAcentral.
CCUACGGGUGGCAGCAGUGGGGAAUCUUGCACAAUGGGGGAAACCCUGAUGCCGCGACGCCGCGUGAGUGAAGAAGUAAUUCGUUACGUAAAGCUCUAUCAGCAGGGAAGAAACACUGACCUUACGGUCAGCAGACGGUACCUGAGUAAGAAGCCCCGGCUAACUACGUGCCAGCAGCCGCGGUAAUCCGUAGGGGGCAAGCGUUAUCCGGUUUUACUGGGGGUAAAGGGAGCGUAGACGGUGCGCCAAGUUUGGAGUGAAAUUCCGCGGCUUAACUGCGGAACUGUGUGGGAAACUGGCGAACGAGAGUGCGGGAGGGGUGAGCGGAAUUACUAGUGUAGCGGUGAAAUGCGUAGAUAUUAGGAGGAACACCGGUGGCGAAGGCGGCUUACUGGACCGUAACUGACGUUGAGGCUCGAAAGCGUGGGGAGCAAACAGGAUUAGAUACCCGUGUAGUC